AUUGGGUCCCUGCUGGCCCAGCUGCCUGUGGACGUUGUUAUUGGGAAGAUGCUGAUCCUGGGCUCCAUGUUCAGCCUGGUGGAGCCUGUGCUCACCAUCGCAGCCGCGCUUAGCGUCCAGUCGCCCUUCACCCGCAGCGCCCAGAGCAGCCCAGAGUGCGCGGCAGCACGGCGGCCGCUGGAGAGCGACCAGGGUGACCCCUUCACGCUCUUCAACGUCUUCAACGCCUGGGUGCAGGUGAAAUCUGAACGGAGCAGAAACUCUCGCAAGUGGUGCCGCCGCCGGGGCAUAGAGGAGCAUCGACUGUACGAGAUGGCCAACCUUCGGCGCCAGUUCAAGGAGCUGUUGGAGGACCACGGGCUGCUGGCUGGGGCCCAGGCCGCGCCGGUAGGGGACAGCUACAGUCGGCUGCAGCAGCGCCGGGAGCGCCGGGCCCUGCACCAGCUGAAACGCCAGCACGAGGAGGGCGCGGGGCGCAGGCGCAAGGUGCUGCGGCUGCAGGAGGAGCAGGACGGCGGCUCCAGUGACGAGGACAGGGCUGGCCCAGCCCCCCCAGGGGCCAGUGAUGGCGUGGACAUCCAGGAUGUGAAGUUCAAGCUUCGGCAUGACCUGGCGCAGCUGCAGGCCGCCGCCAGCUCAGCCCAGGACCUGAGCCGCGAGCAGCUGGCUCUGCUGAAGCUGGUGCUGGGCCGGGGCCUGUACCCGCAGCUGGCCGUCCCCGACGCCUUCAACAGCAGCCGAAAGGACUCAGACCAGGUGGGGCCUGUUCUGCCCCAUCCUAUGUUUUGUCCUCCAACACACGAACCCUGAGUGCCUGUCCUGUGCCGGGAAUGCAGUGGUGACUGAAACAACCCUGGUUCUGUCCCCAUGGGGCUCACAACCCAGUGGGAGGACAGACCCAUCCCCAGACAACCCAGAGUGGGCAGGGCUUGGGGAGUCAAGAGCACUAUAGGAGCCCACAGGGGGCAUCUGCCCCAGAUUUGGAGGAGUCAGGGAGGGCUUCCUGGAGGAGGGGACCUGGGCCAGAGGGUGGAGGAGAGGCAUCCUGGGCAAAGGAGAGAGCAGAUAGGAGGGCUAGGAGAGAGCAGAUAGGAGGGCUUGUGCUUUCUGUCUGUCCUCCGCAGAUUUUCCACACGCAGGCCAAGCAGGGCGCCGUGCUGCACCCCACCUGCGUCUUCGCUGGCAUCCCCGAGGUGCUGCACGCACAGGAGCUGGAGGCCAGCAACUGCGACGGAAGCCGAGGUACACCGGCCCAGGCUGGUAUUGACGGGGGCCCACAGGAGGGGAAGUUCCAGGGCCAGGCCUCCCUGGGUAGCCUUGGGUGACUCACCCCUGCUGGGCCUCACCUUCCGCAUGGUGGUGAUAGUCAACCUAAGCCAGUGUGGCUGUGCCCAGAGAGUGAGCACCGGUCAGGGGGCCUGUCCUAUGGACUCUGAGCUCCCAGCUGGGUCCUGCAGAGGGAGGCCCCCCUGGCACCCAUGUGCAUGGAAGGGUGUCUCGCUGCAGGCAUGGCUGCGUGCUGGGAGUCACAUUCAGAUUUGGCUGACCUUCUUGUCUGAGCCAGGCCACCAAAGCCAUGCCAUAAGCAUACUCUUUCUAUCGAUGUGUACUUUGACCGGGUGGGACAGGCGGGCUUCUGAUGGGCCUAGGUGGGCCAGGGUGGGCCUGAGCGGUCCUCCUCAACCUUUCAGACGACAAGGACAAGAUGAGCAGCAAACACCAGCUCCUCAGCUUCGUGUCCCUGCUGGAGACCAACAAGCCGUACCUGGUGAACUGCGUCCGCAUCCCUGCCCUCCAGUCCCUCCUGCUUUUUAGCCGGUCUUUGGACACCAAUGGUGACUGCUCCCGCCUGGUGGCCGAUGGCUGGCUGGAGCUGCAGCUAGCAGACAGUGAAAGUGCCAUCCGACUCCUGGCGGCUUCCCUGCGGCUCCGUGCCCGCUGGGAAAGUGCCCUGGACCGGCAGCUGGCGCACCAGGCCCAGCGGCAGCUGGAGGAGGAGGAGCAGGAUACGCCAGUCAGCCCCAAGGAGGUGGCCACCCUGAGCAAGGAACUCCUGCAAUUCACGGCAUCCAAGAUUCCUUACAGCCUGCGGCGGCUCACAGGGCUAGAAGCCCAGAACAUGUAUGUGGGACCCCAGACCAUCCCAGCCACCCCCCAUCUUCCUGGCCUCUUUGGCAGCUCCACCCUGUCCCCCCACCCCACAAAGGGGGGCUACGCAGUCACUGAUUUCCUCACCUACAACUGCCUCACGGUAAGCAUGAACCCUCCUUCCCUGAAGGUGGGAUUUCAGGAAGACCCCACCCCUGACCCCACCACCCCGUUUCACCUUAGUCCAGGGACAUAGUUCCCAAGUGGGGCCCGUGGCCCUGAGGGCUUCUGGGAAGGUCCCGGAGGGGCACUUGGGUGGUGGGUGGCACUUGGCGGGGGCCCAGCCCUGACAGCUGGCCUGCCACAGAAUGACACAGACCUGUACAGCGACUGUCUCCGAACCUUCUGGACCUGCCCCCACUGUGGCCUGCAUGCGCCCCUCACACCCCUGGAGCGCAUCGCCCAUGAGAACACCUGCCCCCAGGCCCCACAGGAUGGGCCCCCAGGUAAGCACAGGACUGUGGGGACCCGGCCACCUCUGCCCAGCCGUCUGCCCAUCCCAUGAUGGUCUCCUGUGCGUGUGGGCACUUGCUAGAGCUUCGAGGACUGACGACCUCCACCCGCUGGCCCUGGCUGGUGCCACACACAGGCCUUGUCCUGAAGAUCAGGAGCCCAAGGCAGGGAGAGCCUGGAGCGCCACCUCUUUCUGUCUGCCUGUCCCCUGUGGUGUCUCUGUGUUGCUGUCUUUGUCUCUC
Molecule: small RNA, 2843 nt
Filed under: Pan troglodytes (chimpanzee)
Lineage: Eukaryota; Metazoa; Chordata; Mammalia; Primates; Hominidae
Description: retained intron
Source: RNAcentral